Molecule: ribosomal RNA, 501 nt
Filed under: Triticum aestivum (bread wheat)
Lineage: Eukaryota; Viridiplantae; Streptophyta; Magnoliopsida; Poales; Poaceae
Description: partial small subunit ribosomal RNA
Source: RNAcentral
AUGUUUGAGGACAUAACUAGUGAUGGCACAGAUCAUUGGAAUCCUUCAAUAGGCAUAUCCCCUCCUAGUGCAGCAAUACCAGAUACCAUUGAUAUUGAAGCGAUCACAGAUGUUGAUUUGUUAGAAGAUCCCCAAGUGCCACCUUCUCCUACUAUGCCACCUUCUCCUACAAUGAACAAGAGGCUUGGAAAAACUAUUGAUGACAAGCACAGGAAACCUAGGACUGCACAAGUGAUGCAGGAUGAGAUUACACAGAUUAAAAACAUUGCUAAGGAGUCCCAAGAAACCGUUCGAUCAUUCAUAAAGAAUGAUGAUGCCACUUCUGUUGCCACUACCAUGAAUGAAGUGCUUGCUUGUGGUAUUUUAGAGGGAAGUGAUGAACACUACAUUGCUACCGAGUUGUUCAUCAAAAGAGAGCAAAGAGAGAUGUUUCUACACAUGGGUGCUGGCGCACGUAAAGAUUGGCUUCGUAGGAAGUUUGCGAUGACGUAUGGGAAAUAG